This 876-nucleotide ribosomal RNA is filed under the name uncultured bacterium. RNAcentral describes it as "bacterial SSU rRNA". It matches the Rfam family "Bacterial small subunit ribosomal RNA", at positions 8 to 916 of the family's 1533-position model. The record is from RNAcentral.
AGAGUUUGAUCCUGGCUCAGGAUGAACGCUGGCGGCGUGCCUAAUACAUGCAAGUCGAGCGGCAGCACGGUCUUCGGACUGGUGGCGAGCGGCGGACGGCAGAGUAACGCGUAGGAACAUGCCCCAAAGUGAGGAAUAACUGCCCGAAAGGGUGGCUAAUGCCGCAUAUGCUCUUCGGAGUAAAGCUUUAUGCGCUUUGGGAGUGGCCUGCGUCCGAUUAGCUUGUUGGUGAGGUAAAAGCUCACCAAGGCGACGAUCGGUAGCUGGUCUGAGAGGAUGAUCAGCCUGACUGGAACUGAGAACGGUCCAGACUCCUACGGGAGGCAGCAGUAGGGAAUUUUCCACAAUGGGCGAGAGCCUGAUGGAGCAACGCCGCGUGCAGGAUGAAUGCCUUCGGGUUGUAAACUGCUUUUAUGUGCGAAGAAUUUGACUGUAACACAUGAAUAAGGGUCGGCUAACUACGUGCCAGCAGCCGCGGUCAUACGUAGGACCCAAGCGUUAUCCGGAAUUACUGGGCGUAAAGAGUUGCGUAGGUGGACUAUUAAGUGGAGCGUGAAAGCGUGCGGCUCAACCGCAUUACUGCGUUCCAAACUAAUAGACUAGAGUAUGAGAGAGGUAGAUGGAAUUUCCAGUGUAGGAGUGAAAUCCGUAGAUAUUGGAAGGAACACCGAUGGCGUAGGCAGUCUACUGGCUCAUUACUGACACUAAGGCACGAAAGCGUGGGGAGCAAACGGGAUUAGAUACCCCGGUAGUCCACGCUGUAAACGAUGGAUGCUAGCUGUUACUCACAUCGACCUGAGUAGUAGCGAAGUUAACGCGUUAAGCAUCCCGCCUGGGGAGUACGGUCGCAAGAUUAAAACUCAAAGGAAUUGACUG